RNA transcript from Chenopodium quinoa (quinoa), 2998 nucleotides. RefSeq lists it as uncharacterized. The record is from RefSeq and is a predicted model, not a curated record. NCBI's taxonomy places the organism in Eukaryota, Viridiplantae, Streptophyta, Magnoliopsida, Caryophyllales, Amaranthaceae. The transcript has 9 exons.
GUAACUUUUGAUCAAUUUAGUCUAUUUUUAUAGUGGAUAUGAUGUACAAUAAUUAUUGUACACCCGAUUUUUGUAAGUUUGUGAACAUUAACAGGUGUUACCUUGAGUUUUUGGGAUAAAAAUAAUUUAGAUUAAAAUUUCAAUUAAAAAAAGGUAGUGUUAAUUCCUAAGUUUAACAAUUUUUUUUUUGAAACAUAAGUUUAACAAUUUCAUUCAUUUUUUUUUUUUUGCGGGAAACAAUUUCAUUCAUCUAGCUAGGUUAAUACUAUCUUUCCAAAUAAAAAAUAAAAUAAAAGUUAGGUUAAUACUAUUAGCACCAAAGGAAAUUAAAAAAAAAAAAUUUGGGGCAAAAUUUAUUCUGAAACCGCCAAAUUAAACAAAAUCAAAAGUUGUAUUUCAUCCUCUUCACAGGAGGAACGAAAUUCUCUAACCUAGUUUCAUCAGAAAAAUCAAUUGAAUACACCCGGUUUACACUAAUAUCCUCUUCACAGCGCAAUUUCAUCAGAAAAAUCAAUUGAAUCCUUGAUCGUGUAGCGCAAUUACAUCAGGGAAAUCAGUCGUUUCCUUGAAGCUGUGGGUAUCAUCAAAAUCGUGCUCCAAUUUAAGUCAGGUGUGCUAAGGUGCUCAAACUUCCAAUCAGGAAGCGAUGGCAGAUUAUGAGAAAGCUAGACAAGCAAGGAUAGAACAAAACAAAAGCAGAAUGAAGGAUUUGGGGGUUAUGUCCAUGGCUUAUCAGCUGAAACAAUCUAUGAAGGGAUCGAAACAAACAUAAAAAAGUAAGAAGGUGACUAAAGGUACUGACGAGUACACACCUAAUGAAGAGGGUGAAUUGAACCACUGAAGUGAAGAGGAUGAAAAUCAGAUAAGGAAAAACAGUGUAAACUUGAGGUCUCAUUCGAAAAAGGAGUUUUUUUUUUCCCUGACAACUUCAUUAUGUGAAUCAGAAUUGAUAAAAAGUCAUGGAAUACUUUUAAUGUUUUUGUCAAAUACUUUAUUGCAGGAUGUGGCAUUGAGAGGGAAGAUUCCCACAAACAUUAAAGACACAACAAGUGUCUCUUCAGUACCAAUGGCUAAUCUUGUUAAGAUACGUCAUCAAAACACCGAAAAACAACAAGUAGGGCAAGGGUUGCAAGGGACAGAUUCAACGCAAAGAAAAGUCCAAUUAGGCAAGUCUAAUGCACAGAAAAAUCUAUCGUCCCAUAGUUAGCAAGAGAAAGAGGUUGAGCUUGGGAAGGGUGUCCAAGCUAUGAUAGCACAGAGUAAGACAGUGGUUGCUCCUGGUUCACUCGGUGCUUUCAGGCAAAUGAAAACAAAAUUGAUAGAAAAAGAGAAAAGAGCAAAACAAACUGAUUUAUUACAACGAUAACUACAACCUGUUAACAGGACUAGUUCACAGGUCCUUUUAAGGGGUUCGCAAGAAUUUUUCACAACCACAAAGAAUUGAACCUAACUUACAGGAAGAUUACGAGAAUCAUAUGUGUUCAAAUGAACGCAAUUUGGAACAAUAUGCAGAUGAAGAAGAUAAGUAUAGUGAGGAUUUUAAUACUCUUACCCCCGAGGAGCUAGGAAUGCAAGCUGAACCAUUAAUGAAUCAUGAGCAUGAAAGUGAACAAAUAGUACUUCCAAAAAAGAAGCAUACCAGAGGACCUACUAUGUGUAAGGAUGUUCAUGAAUGGACAUUAGAAGAGCGUAAGCUUAUUGUUCUUAAUGAAAUGGGAAAGCCUAUUGGUCCUGACGAUAAGACCGUAGAUACAUUUACAAGAUUCUUAGGGACAUUAGCUCGUAAUGCUUCUCUAGCGCCGUUGAACAAGAUUAAUUGGCAUCAUGUUAAAGACAAGGAUGAAAUUUGGAAUUAUGUGAAGAAGAAAUUCAUUAUCCCUGAAGAAGGUAAGGGCAGUGUAGUGUCAUCCGUGGGAAGGAUCUGGCGUAAAUAUAAAUGUAGUGUAAAGGCAAGAAACUUUACUCCAUAUGACAAUAAUGGUGAUAGGUUGGCAGAUCCACCUAUUACAAUUCCAGAAGCGCAUUUCAAAGAGUUGCUAGAAUUUUGGAAUGAAUUUGGAACAAGUUCAGGAAGACAGCAAAAAGAAAAGUGAAAUAAGUAAAGAUCAAAUAGAUAGGCACACUAUGGGUCCUUGACUUUCGCGAGGAAACAACAUAAAUUGCAACAACUAGAUGUUGAAAAGAAGCCACCAUCCUUAGCACACGUGUACAAAGAAAGUCGUAAAAGGAAAGCAGACAAACAAUACAAAACUUCUUACGAGCCCACUCAAAGUAACAUUACAAGAUGGAGGAAGUCCAAAUGCAAAGUGAAAUUGAUGGAGAUGUUGCAUACUUUGAAGUAAUGAAUUAGCCAAAUAACUUUGGCCUUAAAAAAAAGCAACCAGGGAUAUGUUCAAUAAGGGGAAAAAGCAACAAACCAAUAAUUCCCGAUGAGUUCCUAAAGCCCUAUAAAGACGAAAUUGUGAAAGAAACAGUAGUAGAAUUAAUGAAGACGCUCAAGCAAAUUGAUCCUAAAGUGGUGGAUACUUUGACUCGAACAGUUGAAAAUGUGUCAUCCAAUCUAGAGCAUAGAAAUCAAGUUCCAAAUUUAGACUCUGAACAACAAAAAAAUGAGGAUGAAAUUGUUGAAGAUGAAGGCUUAGACUAGCAAGUCAAGAUGCAUGCUGCUGAUUGCAUAAAUGUUCCGCUCUCUACAGUUUUUGCUCUCUGCCUGUUACCGCUUUAUGCUGUCAAGAUGCCUAUUUUAUGCUAGCUGUUACUGCUUUCUGCUGCAGUUUUCUGCUCGUUGUUGCUGAUGCAUGCUGUUGUUUUCUGCCCAUUGUUGCUGAUGCAUGUUGUUGUUUUCUGCCCGAUGUCUGCUACUACUAUCGCUGUCUGUUGCUACCGCUAUUUGCAGCUUUGGUGCUGCUCUAAUUCCUUCUAGGUGCUGCUUAUGAUAUCUGCUGCUGUGCUCCUGCUGAAGUUACUAUUGCUUUUUUUUUUUUUUUUUUUUUUUUUU